Molecule: non-coding RNA, 830 nt
Organism: Oreochromis niloticus (Nile tilapia)
Lineage: Eukaryota; Metazoa; Chordata; Actinopteri; Cichliformes; Cichlidae
Source: the annotation of a RefSeq genome assembly
AAACAUGACUUUGAUCUGCGUCCUCAUCUGGACUCUCCUCUGCUGCUGCUUCACAGAGUCCAGAGGACAGAUCACAGUGACUCAGCCUGGAGCAGUGAGCUCUGCUGUGGGAGACACAAUCACCAUCAAGUGUAGGACCAGUCAGAAUGUUUUUGUUCAAAGCAGCUCUCACUGUUUAGCCUGGUUCCAACAGAAAGAUGAAAAACCUCCCAAACGGUUAAUUUACUACACUAGCACUCGAUAUUCAGGGAUUCCAGCUCGUUUUACAGGCAGUGGAUCAAACUCUGACUUCACUCUGACCAUCAGUGGAGUCCAGGCUGAAGAUGCAGCAGUUUAUUACUGUCAGAGUGCUCAUCUUAUCAACAGUCAAGCUGUGUUCACACAGUGAAAAACAGUCGUACAAAAACCUCCCUCAGUCAGACUGAACAGAAACUGAACUGACUGCUGCAGCUGGAAGAUACUGCAGAGACUGAUACAGUUCACUUUUUGUUUGUAAAAAAGUCAAGAGGUAGCAAAGUGGAACAGUUAUUUCAAAAUGUAUCCUGACCUUUGACCUCAGUUUCAUACUAGAUGAUAUCAAUAUAAUCUAUGAUUUGUUAAAUAUAAUCAAUCAGGUAAGCAAAAAAAGACUUUUAUUAACAUAUUUGAAAUUAAACUCAAUACAACUCAAAGAAAAGAAGAGGUCUUAUUUUAAAUAAUCUAAAACAAUGAAACAAUCUCACCAUGAGAUACAGCCAGUACCUGUUGAGGAGCUUUCAGUGACAACACAUGAGCUUCCUCAGCAGAUGGAGGCGUCCAUUUAUUACUGACAUGUAUGUGAUAAAUACACC